GUACUCGUUUCAGCAGCACAUAGACUAAAACUGGAACGAUAGAGAGAUUAGCAUGGCCCCUGUACAAGGAUGACACACAAAUUCAUGAAGCGUCCCCUAUUAAA
This is a small nuclear RNA of Neomonachus schauinslandi (Hawaiian monk seal), 104 nucleotides long. The record is from RefSeq and is a predicted model, not a curated record. Lineage: Eukaryota; Metazoa; Chordata; Mammalia; Carnivora; Phocidae.